GGGGGCGUAAAGGGUUCGACAGGGAUGCUGAUCCACGGUAAGCGAGUAGUGAGGCGGAAUCACUUUAAUCAGCCGCAAACUUUAAAAUAAACGACAACAAUACAGUUGCGUUAGCAGCCUAAGUGCUGCUCGUCCGAGUCCGAAGCACCGCGGUCGGAUAAGGGCGUCGAAUUAGCGGUGAACGUGAACGCAUAGCCGCUCUGCUAUGCGUCAUGACCUAUAGAGCUACCGAAAUUUAAAGCCUGACAGACGGCGUUGCUUUGAGGGAAUUUUUUAAAUAGACUGUCUGCACUCGGAGAAAACUAUGGGGACGCAUUUUUGGACAGGGGUUCAAUUCCCCUCGCUUCCACCA
This 352-nucleotide transfer-messenger RNA is filed under the name Clostridia bacterium. It matches the Rfam family "transfer-messenger RNA". Rfam says of the family: Bacterial tmRNA, also known as 10Sa RNA or SsrA, is named for its dual tRNA and mRNA-like properties. The record is from RNAcentral. Lineage: Bacteria; Bacillati; Bacillota; Clostridia.